UACGUAGGGGGCAAGCGUUGUCCGGAAUUACUGGGCGUAAAGCGUGCGCAGGCGGUGAUGUAAGACAGGUGUGAAAUCCCCGGGCUUAACCUGGGAACUGCAUUUGUGACUGCAUCGCUGGAGUGCGGCAGAGGGGGAUGGAAUUCCGCGUGUAGCAGUGAAAUGCGUAGAUAUGCGGAGGAACACCGAUGGCGAAGGCAAUCCCCUGGGCCUGCACUGACGCUCAUGCACGAAAGCGUGGGGAGCAAACAGG
RNAcentral lists this ribosomal RNA (253 nucleotides) under uncultured bacterium. Its description in RNAcentral is "partial 16S ribosomal RNA". It matches the Rfam family "Bacterial small subunit ribosomal RNA", at positions 524 to 776 of the family's 1533-position model. The record is from RNAcentral.